RNAcentral lists this transfer RNA (72 nucleotides) under Phrynosoma platyrhinos (Desert horned lizard). Its description in RNAcentral is "tRNA-OTHER". The record is from RNAcentral. Lineage: Eukaryota; Metazoa; Chordata; Lepidosauria; Squamata; Phrynosomatidae.
GCCAGAGUGGUGUAGUGGUUUGACCAUUGGACUAUGACUCUGAAGACCAGGGAUCAAAUCCCGCUUCAGCCA